GCCGCAGCGGGGUUGAUCCCUGUCAGUGCAGCGGGGGCUGCAGAAGCGCCUGGCGGCGGCGGCGCUGAGGAGGAGGCGGCGGCAUCAUCCUCGCUCUCGGGCUGCAGGACCCACAGCAGCCAGGCGUGUUCCUCAUAGCCGGGGGGUCGGCCGCAGGUUUUCUUGCCAGCCCCCGGGGCAAGAGGCUUGGAAAGCUUCAGGGACGCUGGUGGUGACAUUUCCAGAGCAGUGCAGCUGGAGGCACGGUAGCCAUCAGCUCGACAUCUGUCCUUGAAUCCUGCUAAAAAAUACCCUGCUUUCUUUGAAUGGACGCUUGAACCUCUGACUUGUAGAAGAUACUGGCUGCAUUCAGGGAAGAAGAAAGAUGGCACUGAAACCAUUUACAUACCCUCUGCCUGAAACGAGGUUUCUUCAUGCAGGCAGGCUCGUGUACAAAUUCAAAAUCCGUUAUGGCAACUUCCACAGUGCUCCUGAUCUCAACAACACUGAAAGUGCUGUCAAGGAGUUAGAGGAAGCGAUUCGAGUAAUCCUUGGAAAUCUUGAUGAUUUGUGCCCAUUUUCUACUGACCACUUCACUAUCUUUCCCUAUUUGAGUAAGUGGGAGAGAGUAUCAAAGAUGAGAUUCAAACAUAAGAAUGUCCAUCUUGUGCCUUAUCCCUACAUUUGCACGAUGUAUUUAGAGCUCAACUCAUUUCAACAAAACUUAUCUUGUGGUAAAGAAGUAAACAAGGGCUGUGAUGAGCUUGUCAAGAGAAGAAAGGAAGUAUCAGAAAGUUCUGCAGUGGAAGAGCCCAUGAAGAGGAGAAGAGUGGAGGUGGGACCAGAGACUUCAUGCCCACAGUCGAGUAUGGACAGAACUGGAGCAGAUGGUGUUCACCACAUGAGUAAAGCAAAGCAUGGAUUUGAAACGAAUUCCUCCAACAGGAACAAGCAUGAGUGUAGCCCGGCAUCCCUCACUGUGGGCUGUAACCAAGUGAGAUUCUGGGCACCUGUGGAACCCAACCUUGAACAAAGACCAGCAACUGACCAGGCUGAGAGUGCAGAGCAGCUACUGCAUCAAAGGGACCAAGUAGUAGACAGAGGACACGUGGGGUCGGAAGGAAGAGGUCUCUCCAGGUUCUGGAGAAGGUACUGGCAUUGCAGCUGUGAGCAGAUCAGCUCUGACUGUGUUCGAGCACAUGUCAGGGACUGUGCCUAAUUCUGGCAGUUCAAGGCAUUCCGCAAGGUCUUGAACCAUGGGUAUAUCUUUUCUGUGGUUAAACCGAAGUAUCACAAGGCAAAGGAACAUGAAGGGAUGUUCUUUUGUCUCGUGGUAAGGUGCAAUAUUCCUUGUCAACCUUCCUCUUCCGUCUUUGGGGAAAAUACUUCUCAGGGGAGGGUGACUGCCCUCAGCCACACACCUCCCACAGCAUGGCUGGGGACAGUAACAUCUGCCAUCUCCAGGCAAUCUCUGAAGGCCUUAAAGACUCCUUCUAACAGGGCCUUCUUUCACUCCUGCUGAGGGAAGUGUGACCUUGAUGUGGCCGCGUGGCAGUGGUGGCCUUGUUAACUUCUGCUCCUAAAGCACCAUUUUAAACCCUGGUCCAGCACCCUGGCAUGAAGGUUCUGGCAGUGCUGACUAAGGGAGUUCUCCAGAGCUGCCAAAGCCUUGUCCCACGUGAGCAGACUUUUCCCUGCACAGCAUGAGCUGGACGUGGGCAGUAAUUUUGUUUGAUGGGUGCGUUAGUGUUAGAAGAAAUCAAACUCCUCAUUAAUCAUCAUGCAUGCCAGUCCCUUUCCCUUUUGAGACUAGGCCAUUAGGGCACAAGUUACUCAUUAUGUUUCAGUCUGUAUUUUUUCAGUCUUCCUCUGUAUUAUUUUGUGCUGGGGUUGUGUCUUCCUGGUGGACAGAAAUUACCUUGUUCUUAGAAUUCUCAGAUAAUUAUGGCUUAUAUAAUGUGCUCAUUUUGUCAUUGUUUCCCCAGUGUAAUCUUUUCACCACUACAGCAUCUCUUCGGAGGAAAGGACUGACCUGGAGUAUUAAUAGUUGUGGAAAGGACACUUUUGUGCUACUUACCCACCCCCAGAGGAGGGAACUCAUCUGCCCUGAUGUUGCUUGUCCCAGUCCUGGCAAUGCUGGUUAUUCGUGUGUAUCCAGUGAGGUGUCCUGCCAUUCUGCCAUCACUUGUGCUUAUUUUGCUUUCAUCUUGCAACUUCUGGCAUCCGAGUGCCUCCUGUGUGCGGCUCUGUGAGGCUCUGCCUGUCCCCCUAGUGGCUCCCAUUAUUCACAACUUGUGUCAUUAGCUAGAGGAUAUAGUCUCUGGUCCUUAGUCCGUGUAGUACCUGCCAGCAACGUUCCGGGCGGUCACGUCCAGGCAGACCACUGCCUUUCUCCUUGCACCAGCAGGCCAGGCACUGCGCUGGGCAGGUGUUCCCAGCUUGACCGGAGCAGCAGGAGGAGCAGGAGAGUUCCAGCCCUGAGCAGGCUCCUUCUGGCAGGGGCUGCCCCUGCGUUCCCUGCUCGGGGGCAGGUCGGUGCGGUGGGUCUGUCCGAGAGGAUGCUGAAACCUCUGCUCGAGAACCCGAGGAGGGAAAUGUGAUACGGAAUGGGGGCUGGGAGGAGGGAUGGGAAGCUCUGUGAACGAGAAGAGGAAGAAACGCCUGAGAAACCCAGGGAAUAAGAGAGACAUUGUCCAGAGGAGCAGAGAAAAACGAGGGGAGAGGUUUUGAUCCCUGCCUUUGCCCUGUCAGCAGCAGUGCCAGUAUGUGAGGGCUGUCUCCCUGCACAGCUCCUGGGCUGACAGGGACCUUUUUCACUAGAUCAGGUUGCUCAGAGCCUGGUCAAGCCUGACCAUGAAUGUUUCCAGGGAUGGGGCCUCCACCACCUCUCUGGGCAACCUGUUUCAGUGCUUUGCCACCCUCAUUGUAUUGCUCAUAAUUAAUCACUCCUCAUUUAAGGGUCUAACUACCCAGAAUUCAAGAAGGCUCAAGACAUUUUACUGGUAUUUGUUGCAAAACUUGCAACAGUUUUGAACAUAAGUUGUGAAAGUUCAAGAGCUAGAAGUAUUAGAGUGACAUGAUUUCAGAUCAUCCAGUCAAAUUUUAACCCAGCACUGCCAAGGCCCCCACUAAGCCAUGUCCCUCAGCACCACAUCUACACAGCUUUUUAGUCCCUCAGGGAUGGUGACUAGAGUCACCGGCAGCCCAUGCCAGGACCUGACAAGUCUUUCCAUGAAAAAACUGUUCCAAAUAACACUAAACCUCCCCUGCACAACUUGAGGCCUGACUGCCUCUUCCCAAUGCUCUUCCUGCUGCCACCCCUUCCCAGGAACAGGCUCUGGCAGGCGCUGCAGGCUGUGAGGCCUGGGCACUGCCUGCUUUGGCAGCAGCUCUGCCUGGGGUGCCACCUCCAUUCUAGUGAGUGCAGAGGACACGGCUUGCUGCCGGGGCUGGCCGAGCUGGGCCCUGCCCGUUGUAUGGCAGCCACUCGGGGUCCCUCGGGUCCUCACGUCCUGUUACAAUUCACUGAUGCCCAGGAAGGGGAGCGAGAGAGCCCAGGGUCUGGGCUGGGGCCAGGCCUGUCCAGGCAGUGACCCCCCCUUUGGUGGGGCAGCCUGUCCAGGUUGGGCACGGGAGGACCCUCCCUUUCAUCUGCCCCAGCUGUGCUGCCCUCCCAGGGGGUGGCAGCAGUGUCACACCAAGCCCUGGGGGGCUGCCCUGCAGGAGGGCGCUGCAGCCUCUCCUGGAGCUUGCAUGCCCUCCGGCCACCCUGUCCCCAGAGCCCUCCUGCUGUCCUCCUCGGCUGGGGACCAGGCCCAAAGGACUCCCCAGAUGGUGCAGUUGGGGACAAGGCUGUCACCAGGGGUCCCUGACAUCCCUUGAGACACACCAGCAUGAGGGCUUCCCCUUUGGAACCUCUGCUCUGGUACACAUUGCCACCAGUGCCACAACAGCCCCACCAGCCAGCAUGUCCACCAUUAGAAAAACAAUGUGUAGAUCUGGACCUGCAUCUCAAGCUAGUACAAGUAAUUAUCAACAAUCAGCAACAAUCAAUGGCAACAGUCAGUAACAGGAGCGCCAAGUAUGUAUUUAGUAUUACAGGUUAAUACAAACUUAUCUCCAAUAAAGUAAAUGCAUCGAUAGACCAGGAGAUAGAGCUGGGAGAGGUGACUUCUCUCUGUCUGCCUGUGGUAUCCAAUGCAUGAGACAAAUUCCAGGAGAGGAUCCAGCCAGCCAAGGGCUGGGGACAAACUGUGCUCCUUUCUUGGUCCUGCUCUGAGCCCACUGCUGGGAUGGUUCAGAGUCUCACAGUUUCACAUCUUCCUCCAGACACGGGGAGAAAUUCAGUCAUUUUUAUAUCACAGAGACCUAAGAGGGUACAGGACAUCACUGCUUUGAGUAGCCAAGAGAUGCUGCUAAUUGCCAUGUUUCACCCAGUACAGAUGAUGCUUUGUUCUCUGAGAUCAAUUUUUACUUUGCAGACUGUUUUCCUGUUCCUACAGAGUGAACAGCCAAUGGCAGUUACCAAUCCUUUCUCAAAGCAUCUUCCUCUUCCUCUACACUAUUUGUCACAUUUUCAGGCAGUAAAUUGCUGUUACAGUC
Apus apus (common swift) is the source of this 4581-nucleotide RNA transcript. It is a transcript of the gene named membrane anchored junction protein, with no coding region annotated. The record is from RefSeq and is a predicted model, not a curated record. The transcript has 12 exons. Lineage: Eukaryota; Metazoa; Chordata; Aves; Apodiformes; Apodidae.